Molecule: transfer RNA, 40 nt
Filed under: Barisia imbricata
Lineage: Eukaryota; Metazoa; Chordata; Lepidosauria; Squamata; Anguidae
Description: partial tRNA-Xle
Source: RNAcentral
ACUUUUAAAGGAUAAAAGUCAUCCGCUGGCUAUAGGCGCC